AUUGAACGCUGGCGGCAGGCCUAACACAUGCAAGUCGAGCGGAUGAAGGGAGCUUGCUCCUGGAUUCAGCGGCGGACGGGUGAGUAAUGCCUAGGAAUCUGCCUGGUAGUGGGGGAUAACGCCCGGAAACGGGCGCUAAUACCGCAUACGUCCUGAGGGAGAAAGUGGGGGAUCUUCGGACCUCACGCUAUCAGAUGAGCCUAGGUCGGAUUAGCUAGUUGGUGGGGUAAAGGCCUACCAAGGCGACGAUCCGUAACUGGUCUGAGAGGAUGAUCAGUCACACUGGAACUAAGACACGGUCCAGACUCCUACGGGAGGCAGCAGUGGGGAAUAUUGGACAAUGGGCGAAAGCCUGAUCCAGCCAUGCCGCGUGUGUGAAGAAGGUCUUCGGAUUGUAAAGCACUUUAAGUUGGGAGGAAGGGCAGUAAGUUAAUACCUUGCUGUUUUGACGUUACCAACAGAAUAAGCACCGGCUAACUUCGUG
This 484-nucleotide ribosomal RNA is filed under the name uncultured bacterium. RNAcentral describes it as "partial 16S ribosomal RNA". It matches the Rfam family "Bacterial small subunit ribosomal RNA", at positions 30 to 507 of the family's 1533-position model. The record is from RNAcentral.